UAGUUCCACAGCAAGAUGAAAUGAUCCAUCUGAUGGUGAUUAAUUAGAUAAUAAAGUUUGUGAGGACACUGAUAAUGACUUAUGACAAGUGAUAAUUGCCGUGAAAUUAACUAAAUGAUGAACAGGCUUUGCCACAGAAAUUAACAGCUGGUGGCAAAUUAUGCAAGUAUAAAAGGCCCGUUAAAUUAUUUGGUAUCAUCAUCACAUUAAUUAACACAACAAUUCGUGUAUAGUUUUAUGGCCGGAAGAAUACAACAUGUAUAAAAACUUAUAAUUAACACGUUUACUUAUUUAGAAUGAACCAUGUUUGAAGGUUGGAUCCUGAAACCUAUAACAAAAAAAUGGAAGGAGUCGGUUAUAUGUCUUUGAUAAUUGAAUGAACACGAGUUUGAAAGUGAAUAAUAUCGAUCUAUGCGGCGGACAACACAAAAUCUGCGUACCACACCACCCAUAAGCAGUAUAGUUAUAUAUAUAAAGUUGUAGUUUUAUUUAUAGGGGUAGGUUUGAAAAGGGAAACGAUAACAUAAUCACCACAAUGCCGUACAAAUAGGAAAAAGGAUUCCUUGACCUCUAUGAUGAAUUUAGAAAUCGUAAAGCUUGUAUUAUAAUAUAGCUUCAUUCAUGACUGGUUAUGAUGAACUCUUCAGAUUUGUCUGCAACCUCUUUUGUUUUUUUUUUUUUUUUUUAAGAGAUAAUAUUAAUCGAAUGACAAGCUUAAUUACAAAGUCCACAAAACAUAAAGCCAGAAAAUACUAAUAAUAAAGAGCAUGAAUCUCUAACUCGAUCAAACUAGAAAAAAUAAGAAUAGACCACCAACUAGAAAGAGUAAGAGGUGACCACCAACUCGCAUCUUUUUUGUUAGGUGUUGAACUAUUGAUGAUGAUUGAUUUUUAUUGUAUUUAUUUUGUCAAAGAUUUCAUCAACUUAUUCUUUGAUUAAUGAUCAUUCAUCAUGCUUGUCUAGCUAGGUCUCGUCAAACCUCGCUUUGUUAGAUUAAGGACUUGAAUUAACCUGCUUCAAACCUUAAUUAAGUAGUUAAUGCAGAAUUGUUGAUCUAUAUAUCUAGACAGGAGCAGCAACUAUAUAGGAUAUACGUACUUAUGGAUCGUAUUUACUCUUGACAUAAAGAUUUUUUUCCAAAAUUUGUAAGAUCAUUCCUCGUAAUAAGAAGUACGAAAUCAUAUUUAAUGCUUGAUCGGUUCUUAAAAGAAUUCAUUGUGUCCUAGAUAUUUCAAUAAAUAGUGAUCAAUACGUACUUGUUUUACACGUACGAACCCAAACUUUGUUAUCAUUUUCGAGCACUAUAUAAACUCUUGAGA
RNAcentral lists this long non-coding RNA (1319 nucleotides) under Fragaria vesca (wild strawberry). RNAcentral describes it as "long non-coding RNA (FVES_LNC005351)". The record is from RNAcentral. Lineage: Eukaryota; Viridiplantae; Streptophyta; Magnoliopsida; Rosales; Rosaceae.